UUUCCCUCAGGAUAGCUGGCACUCGCUCGAACGAGUCUCAUCUGGUAAAGCGAAUGAUUAGAGGCCUUGGGGCCGAAACGACCUCAACCUAUUCUCAAACUUUAAAUGGGUGAGAUCUCUGGCUUGCUUGAACUAUGAAGCCACGAGACAUUCGGCAAUGGAUCAGAGUGCCAAGUGGGCCAAUUUUGGUAAGCAGAACUGGCGCUGUGGGA
Molecule: ribosomal RNA, 212 nt
Filed under: Neocladia sp. D2439
Lineage: Eukaryota; Metazoa; Arthropoda; Insecta; Hymenoptera; Encyrtidae
Description: partial 28S ribosomal RNA
Rfam family: Eukaryotic large subunit ribosomal RNA
Source: RNAcentral